Molecule: unclassified non-coding RNA, 766 nt
Filed under: Zea mays
Lineage: Eukaryota; Viridiplantae; Streptophyta; Magnoliopsida; Poales; Poaceae
Description: misc RNA Zm00001eb335370
Source: RNAcentral
GCGAGCUGGUGAGGUGGGGAUCGAGCAGGGGAUAACGGGUUCGACAACUCGACGGCAGCGUAACACCACCAUGGGAUGGAGGCAAACUGACUACGAUAGCCUAGGACGGGUGCGGAGGCUGACAGCAGGGGACUUCACGAUGGGUAGUGAGCCUCAAUGACGAACGACGCGACGACGAACGACGACAACCGACGAGGUCGGCGAUGCGAUGGGGAUUAAAGCCGAACGAACCGAGAGGGCGCGCUAGCGAGCAGGAAACAGGACGCGCGGCGAGGCUCGACGUGGAAACUCGACGCGCCGUGGCGAGCAGAGAGGAAGUGCUGGUGGGAACUCGAUCAGGCCGACAUCGAGCUGCAAAAAUGAACAAGGCGGCGUCCAUGGCCAAAGCGAGCAUAGCCGAAUAUGAUCGAGCUGGGGCUUCCACGGAAGAACGCGUGGGCGGAUUCCGGAUUCCAUGGUGGCCACGGCAGAGUGGAGGACGAGUUUGAGGGGCACGCGCAGGGACGAGCUCGGCGCGCAUAGAGCAGCGCGGUCGGCCGAGCUAGAGGGCGAGCAACGUCGGCGAGCCUGCGACGCCAAGGAGCAGGGAGCAGCUGGGCUAAAUCCGAGCAGAGAGCGCCGAGCAGAGAAGAAGCAGCGCGCGCAGGGAGCUUCAACGGCGGCGACUUGGGCGAGCUUGCAGGGGAUCCAGCGCCAUGGAGAAAACCGAGCAGGGGCGCCGCAACCCGAGCGCUUGGACGAUGGAGGGCACGCGCGGAUGGCAAAG